CUGCCGUGAUGGGAACAUUUUUCGUCAACAGCAUCUCACCCCCGUGAAUGGUGACUCCUGUGGGCUGAGCAG
Small nucleolar RNA from Agelaius phoeniceus (red-winged blackbird), 72 nucleotides. RefSeq annotates it as small nucleolar RNA SNORD56. Lineage: Eukaryota; Metazoa; Chordata; Aves; Passeriformes; Icteridae. The record is from RefSeq and is a predicted model, not a curated record.